UCAUAUAGAGACCGAAGAAAGAUGCGUGCCUACUUCAGCUGGAAAUUUUUUUUGACAGCUUUAUGGGGCAUGUCAUACUAUGUAUUCCGAAAAUAUGCCAGACGCAGAUGCAAGCGCGACACAUAUGUCACCAUAAUCCUCCAAGUUUCAUUAUUCCCUGAGGAUAACAAUGCAAGAAGCUGAGUGAAAGAGUUGAUAUGCUGACUGUACAAAAAUCGGCAGGAAAUAUUAGUAUUAUAUUAUAUUUAAUUAACGACUUUUCUACUGGUAUUUAUAUUGUGCUUCACUUUGUAGUGAUCGAUGUUAAAGGUUGUGUUUUAGGAAUUCUUGAGCUUAGGACUCUUGAGACCUAAGCGUACAUUGAAAAUACACUGAAAGUUUAAAGAAUAAUACGAGAUGAAUAUUCAUGUUCCUGCCUUCCUGCCUCGCAAUCUUUUCUGUCUAAACUUUUUUAGGCACUUCCUUUUUGUCGUCGUAGAGACCUUACACAGAGACAAAAAGAAGAUACUCAAAAGUGACGAAUGCCGUUAGCAACAGUACGCUGCUCUGUUCGGUGUCUUCGCAAAAACAGCAAAUGACGUUCUCGCUUAGGUCUUUCCAGGGAUGCCACUGACCUAGCUCUAUAACCCCAAUUACUGGACAACCAAACAUUGGCAGUAGGAAGGAGCACGUAAAGCGGAUACAGUAAGCUACCAGAGGUAUGAUAUGAGAGACUGGCAGCAGUGACUGGAUAAUGCAAAUGGAAGAUUAGAAAACCUUUGGUUCCUGCUAUAAUACAACCAGCGUUGUCAGCUCAGGUUUAUACAGACAGUGCUUUUGGGGUGACAAAUCACGCUUCGCCAUUGCCGCCAGACGCGAAGGAAAAAUCGCAAAAGAGUUCAUAUGACUAAUGAUAAUUUUAUUAGAAGCUAUGCCACCAAACGGCGCUAUCGAACUAGUGGGUUCGAAAGUGGUAAAGGAAGAACUCAUUCGACCCUUCGAAGGAAGACUUUUGUGUACUAGCUUUCGCGUA
This is a long non-coding RNA of Varroa destructor (honeybee mite), 1012 nucleotides long. RefSeq lists it as uncharacterized. The record is from RefSeq and is a predicted model, not a curated record. Lineage: Eukaryota; Metazoa; Arthropoda; Arachnida; Mesostigmata; Varroidae.